This 601-nucleotide unclassified non-coding RNA is filed under the name Hevea brasiliensis (rubber tree). The record is from RNAcentral. Lineage: Eukaryota; Viridiplantae; Streptophyta; Magnoliopsida; Malpighiales; Euphorbiaceae.
CGUUGUUUUCUGUGUAUCAAUCAUCGUCUUUUUUGAUAAAGACUAGAUUUUUACGGAAAAAGGGGGAAAAUUGAUUUGAGUGGAAUUUCGGUGAGUUGAAAAUCUUGAGGGAUGGAUCUGUUGAUGAUAAAGUUCAUGGUUUGAUUGAUUGUUGAUGUAAAUUGGGUGAAUGAGGAUGGGAUUAGAAUCUUCUGGUGAAAUUCCUCGUGUUUACCGGAAGAUUAAUGUGUUACACGAGGGUGCUAUUUGAUCCGAUGACGCCCUUGCUUUAGAUUUUUUUUUUGUUUCUGUUGUGAGUUGUAAUAUUAAUAGUUAUUAAGCGGAGGUGCGUUCAUGGAUGAAGGUAGUUCUAGCUCUAUGGCGGUUGGUUCAUCGGAGCUGGCAGCAGAGGGAGCUUUAUCAUCAGCUGCUGCUGCUGCGGUAGUGGCUCCAUCAUGGCGUCCGAGCCAGGGAAUCUUUGGUCCUUAUUUGCCUGGACAACAGGCAAAUGCUAACCCCCAAAGUUUGCGGGUAGUUGUUCGAAGACCUUUGGUGGCAAGGUUAACUAAAGAUAUCGUUGAGACAUACCGCAUCUGCAAUCCUCAUUUCACUUACUCUGAAG